Molecule: long non-coding RNA, 733 nt
Organism: Pan paniscus (pygmy chimpanzee)
Lineage: Eukaryota; Metazoa; Chordata; Mammalia; Primates; Hominidae
Source: Ensembl
GUUUCUAUGGGGUUCGAUGUUGGAGAUUGGGGUUUUUGUAUGGAAUAUCAGCUCCCUGUUCAAGCCAGCUGAAACUUCUGGAGGUGGAGAUGGUGGUUAUAUGCAUUUCUGCCACAUUUGCUGGUGUUUGGCUGGAGUAAGAUGGCCAGAACCUAGCAAACUUAACUAUGAUUCCUCAGUUCAGUCCUAGUGGUAGAUCAUUGUCUUACACAUUUCCUUGCUGGGCUUCUCAAGAUUUACCUCUUCUUUAACUUUCAGGUGAAACAAAGGCCUUGGUAAGUGAUGAGGCUUUGUAAGGUUGGGGUAUUUAAUAACUUCCCUGUAAAACAACAGGUAGUGGAAAGUGCUACAUUUAAUGGAUGUCUGAGGAAAGGCUUUGGUUUGAAUGAUGGUGUCCCAUCCAGAAUUUAUGUAGAAACUUAAUCCCUAAUGCAACAGUAUUAAGAGAUGUGACCCCUGGAAUGUGAUUGAGUCAUGAAAGCUAUACCCUCAUGAAUGAGAUUAGCAUCUUUCUAAAAGAGCUUGAGUUUGAAAGGAGCACUCUCCUGCACUUGCAUCCCUUUUGCAAUGUGAGAACACACUGACAUGUGAGGAACUCCCCUCUGGAGGAUGCAGCAACACACCACCAUCUUGGAAGCAGAGGGCAACCCUCAUUGGACACCAAUGCCUACCUUGAUCCUGGAAGUUCCAUCCUCCAUAACUGCAAGAAAUAAAUUUCUGUUUACAAAUUACC